This 254-nucleotide ribosomal RNA is filed under the name uncultured bacterium. RNAcentral's name for it is "partial 16S ribosomal RNA". It matches the Rfam family "Bacterial small subunit ribosomal RNA", at positions 524 to 777 of the family's 1533-position model. The record is from RNAcentral.
UACAGAGGUCUCAAGCGUUGUUCGGAUUCAUUGGGUUUAAAGGGUCCGUAGGCGGUUUUGUAAGUCAGUGGUGAAAGCCCAUCGCUCAACGGUGGAACGGCCAUUGAUACUGCAAAACUUGAAUUAUUGGGAAGUAACUAGAAUAUGUAGUGUAGCGGUGAAAUGCUUAGAUAUUACAUGGAAUACCAAUUGCGAAGGCAGGUUACUAUCAAUAUAUUGACGCUGAUGGACGAAAGCGUGGGGAGCGAACAGGA